ACACGUAUGAAAGUCAAGCUGAAAGACUUUACUCAAUGAUGUAAGUGGUGGUGCAUGGCCGUUCGUGGUUCGUGGAUUGAUUCGUCUGGUUAAUUCCGUUAACGAGCGAGACCCUAACGUUCUAAAUAGGGGGUCACAGCCCACCCGGUCGAAAGGCCGGGUAGCCGUAGCCUAUAUAAACUUCUUAGACGUAUCAGGGCCGAUAAGGUCCUUGAAAUGGGUUAAUAACAGGUCAGUCAUGCCCUUAGAUGUUCUGGGCCGCACGCGCGUUACAAUGGCACGUAAAGCGAGUGCUCCUGGUUGAGUUGACCGUGGCCGAAAGGCUUCGGGAAUCCAUAAUCCCUGCCUUGUCUGGGAUAGACUCUUGAAAUUAUCGGUCUUGAACGAGGAAUUUUUAGUAAUAGCCAGGUCACUAGCCUGCGCUGA
RNAcentral lists this ribosomal RNA (426 nucleotides) under Physarum viride. RNAcentral describes it as "SSU rRNA". It matches the Rfam family "Eukaryotic small subunit ribosomal RNA", at positions 1230 to 1644 of the family's 1831-position model. The record is from RNAcentral. Lineage: Eukaryota; Evosea; Eumycetozoa; Physariida; Physaraceae.